RNAcentral lists this ribosomal RNA (2858 nucleotides) under Salmonella enterica subsp. enterica serovar Enteritidis. RNAcentral describes it as "bacterial LSU rRNA". It matches the Rfam family "Bacterial large subunit ribosomal RNA". The record is from RNAcentral. Lineage: Bacteria; Pseudomonadati; Pseudomonadota; Gammaproteobacteria; Enterobacterales; Enterobacteriaceae.
GGGUUGUGAGGUUAAGCGACUAAGCGUACACGGUGGAUGCCCUGGCAGUCAGAGGCGAUGAAGGGCGUGCUAAUCUGCGAUAAGCGCCGGUAAGGUGAUAUGAACCGUUAUAACCGGCGAUACCCGAAUGGGGAAACCCAGUGUGAUUCGUCACACUAUCAUUAACUGAAUCCAUAGGUUAAUGAGGCGAACCGGGGGAACUGAAACAUCUAAGUACCCCGAGGAAAAGAAAUCAACCGAGAUUCCCCCAGUAGCGGCGAGCGAACGGGGAGGAGCCCAGAGCCUGAAUCAGCAUGUGUGUUAGUGGAAGCGUCUGGAAAGGCGCGCGAUACAGGGUGACAGCCCCGUACACAAAAGCGCAUGUGCUGUGAGCUCGAUGAGUAGGGCGGGACACGUGGUAUCCUGUCUGAAUAUGGGGGGACCAUCCUCCAAGGCUAAAUACUCCUGACUGACCGAUAGUGAACCAGUACCGUGAGGGAAAGGCGAAAAGAACCCCGGCGAGGGGAGUGAAAAAGAACCUGAAACCGUGUACGUACAAGCAGUGGGAGCNNNNNNNNNNNNNNNNNNNNNNNNNNNNNNNNNNNNNNGGGCGUUAAGUUGCAGGGUAUAGACCCGAAACCCGGUGAUCUAGCCAUGGGCAGGUUGAAGGUUGGGUAACACUAACUGGAGGACCGAACCGACUAAUGUUGAAAAAUUAGCGGAUGACCUGUGGCUGGGGGUGAAAGGCCAAUCAAACCGGGAGAUAGCUGGUUCUCCCCGAAAGCUAUUUAGGUAGCGCCUCGUGAAUUCAUCUCCGGGGGUAGAGCACUGUUUCGGCUAGGGGGCCAUCCCGGCUUACCAACCCGAUGCAAACUGCGAAUACCGGAGAAUGUUAUCACGGGAGACACACGGCGGGUGCUAACGUCCGUCGUGAAGAGGGAAACAACCCAGACCGCCAGCUAAGGUCCCAAAGUCAUGGUUAAGUGGGAAACGAUGUGGGAAGGCCCAGACAGCCAGGAUGUUGGCUUAGAAGCAGCCAUCAUUUAAAGAAAGCGUAAUAGCUCACUGGUCGAGUCGGCCUGCGCGGAAGAUGUAACGGGGCUAAACCAUGCACCGAAGCUGCGGCAGCGACACUGUGUGUUGUUGGGUAGGGGAGCGUUCUGUAAGCCUGCGAAGGUGGCCUGUGAGGGUUGCUGGAGGUAUCAGAAGUGCGAAUGCUGACAUAAGUAACGAUAAAGCGGGUGAAAAGCCCGCUCGCCGGAAGACCAAGGGUUCCUGUCCAACGUUAAUCGGGGCAGGGUGAGUCGACCCCUAAGGCGAGGCCGAAAGGCGUAGUCGAUGGGAAACGGGUUAAUAUUCCCGUACUUGGUGUUACUGCGAAGGGGGGACGGAGAAGGCUAUGUUGGCCGGGCGACGGUUGUCCCGGUUUAAGCGUGUAGGUGUGUGUUCCAGGUAAAUCCGGUUCACUUUAACACUGAGGCGUGACGACGAGGCACUACGGUGCUGAAGCAACAAAUGCCCUGCUUCCAGGAAAAGCCUCUAAGCAUCAGGUAACAUCAAAUCGUACCCCAAACCGACACAGGUGGUCAGGUAGAGAAUACCAAGGCGCUUGAGAGAACUCGGGUGAAGGAACUAGGCAAAAUGGUGCCGUAACUUCGGGAGAAGGCACGCUGACACGUAGGUGAAGUGAUUUACUCAUGGAGCUGAAGUCAGUCGAAGAUACCAGCUGGCUGCAACUGUUUAUUAAAAACACAGCACUGUGCAAACACGAAAGUGGACGUAUACGGUGUGACGCCUGCCCGGUGCCGGAAGGUUAAUUGAUGGGGUCAGCGCAAGCGAAGCUCCUGAUCGAAGCCCCGGUAAACGGCGGCCGUAACUAUAACGGUCCUAAGGUAGCGAAAUUCCUUGUCGGGUAAGUUCCGACCUGCACGAAUGGCGUAAUGAUGGCCAGGCUGUCUCCACCCGAGACUCAGUGAAAUUGAACUCGCUGUGAAGAUGCAGUGUACCCGCGGCAAGACGGAAAGACCCCGUGAACCUUUACUAUAGCUUGACACUGAACAUUGAGCCUUGAUGUGUAGGAUAGGUGGGAGGCUUUGAAGUGUGGACGCCAGUCUGCAUGGAGCCGACCUUGAAAUACCACCCUUUAAUGUUUGAUGUUCUAACGUGGACCCGUUACCCGGGUUGCGGACAGUGUCUGGUGGGUAGUUUGACUGGGGCGGUCUCCUCCUAAAGAGUAACGGAGGAGCACGAAGGUUGGCUAAUCCUGGUCGGACAUCAGGAGGUUAGUGCAAUGGCAUAAGCCAGCUUGACUGCGAGCGUGACGGCGCGAGCAGGUGCGAAAGCAGGUCAUAGUGAUCCGGUGGUUCUGAAUGGAAGGGCCAUCGCUCAACGGAUAAAAGGUACUCCGGGGAUAACAGGCUGAUACCGCCCAAGAGUUCAUAUCGACGGCGGUGUUUGGCACCUCGAUGUCGGCUCAUCACAUCCUGGGGCUGAAGUAGGUCCCAAGGGUAUGGCUGUUCGCCAUUUAAAGUGGUACGCGAGCUGGGUUUAGAACGUCGUGAGACAGUUCGGUCCCUAUCUGCCGUGGGCGCUGGAGAACUGAGGGGGGCUGCUCCUAGUACGAGAGGACCGGAGUGGACGCAUCACUGGUGUUCGGGUUGUCAUGCCAAUGGCACUGCCCGGUAGCUAAAUGCGGAAGAGAUAAGUGCUGAAAGCAUCUAAGCACGAAACUUGCCCCGAGAUGAGUUCUCCCUGAGACUUAGAGUCUCCUGAAGGAACGUUGAAGACGACGACGUUGAUAGGCCGGGUGUGUAAGCGCAGCGAUGCGUUGAGCUAACCGGUACUAAUGAACCGUGAGGCUUAACCUUACAACGCCGAAG